RNAcentral lists this transfer RNA (87 nucleotides) under Escherichia coli. RNAcentral describes it as "tRNA-Leu". It matches the Rfam family "tRNA". From Rfam's summary of the family: Transfer RNA (tRNA) molecules are approximately 80 nucleotides in length. The record is from RNAcentral. Lineage: Bacteria; Pseudomonadati; Pseudomonadota; Gammaproteobacteria; Enterobacterales; Enterobacteriaceae.
GCGAGGGGGGCGGAAUGGGGAGACGAGCUAGCUUCAGGUGUUAGUGUCCUUACGGACGUGGGGGUUCAAGUCCCCCCCCUCGCACCA